AUGCCGUCAGCACCCAGCCCACUACCAGCCACUGUCACACGAGGAGAGGAGAGGAGAGGAAAACACGCUCGGAGCCAACCGCUCCCCAUGCAAAGCCCAUGUGCACGGCACAGCAGCUAUCGGCAGCCCAUUCUGGCAGAAACGCAGCACAUCUCCUCACCGGAGACGGUCAGAAGUUGUCCGCGCGUUAUUUCGGAGAGGGUUUCAAGAAGCAAGCCCAGCCCUGGGCUUCAGCACAUGGCAAGUCUCGUGUGGGUACAGCAAGUGGGGAUGCUGCCGAGCAUCACUUCUACUCCACCAAGACAGAGUGAGUUCAGCCAUGAGACCUUUGGGAGUCUGGGUAGCAAAUAUGUUGCAAUGAUACUUGGGAGCAGCACAGCUUGUGCCUGAGGAUACCAGAGGAGACAGCAGCCAGCUCACUCAGAUGGUGAAACUGAAGGAUGCUCUUACAGCGGGUGAGCAUUUUAAAACAGGAUUUUUCCUGUCACAUUUGUGUUGAUACCAACGUGGUGGAUUUGGGAUCUUCCUCCUUUUUGUCUGUCCAGGUGGAAGCCAGCAGUCGCUGCUCCUGCUGGCUGCUCCCAGCACGGCUGCUGCUCCGCAGGGCUGGGGGCAGUGCUUACCAAUACCCAGAGUCAGAAGUCAAUACCUGUCCGGUGAGGAGAUUUAGUCAAUUUCUGGGAAGAAAUCCAAUCAGCAUUUGAAAUGUGUUUGUUUUUUUCUUGCAGCAGUGCUGUUAAAAGGAUCAGAGCAAUAGAAGAACGAAGUCAGAAGGUGGAAGAGCACCGCAAUCCACCACGCAGCAGUGCUGGGAGCAGAUACACAAAAUUUUGUGAUGACAUCCAAGUUCCCCAAACUGUUGUUGCAAUAAUUUUGCAGUUCAGCUGAGCUUCAGAUGUCCAUCUCCAGCUACACUAAAAUUCAUGAUGCUUUACCUGACUCCCUCAGCCAGCCCAAAAGUCAUCAGCAGACUCCUCUUUCCAUCACCGCUCAGAACGCUGGCUGCAAAGCUACCAGAAAAAAAAAAAAUCAAUCUCAUUCUUAGUAUUCUCUAUUACACUUCCAGCAAGUUGUUUCAAUUACCUUUUAUCCAGCUAAGAAGAGGUAGAGAUAAUUAGCAAUGCACAGCCUCCUCCUGCAAUGCUGUGCACACGUGGAUGAUUAUUGACCCCCUUUUGGAGCCAAGAGCAGCUCAAGGACUUUGCCUUCUUAGCUCUCUUCUGCGCCUAGACGUGGAAAAUGGAAAAUAAAGAGGAUGUAAAGGCUCUGUGAGAUUUGCA
This 1280-nucleotide long non-coding RNA is filed under the name Numida meleagris (helmeted guineafowl). Its description in RNAcentral is "lncRNA (ENSNMEG00000005926.1)". Lineage: Eukaryota; Metazoa; Chordata; Aves; Galliformes; Numididae. The record is from RNAcentral.